Molecule: ribosomal RNA, 253 nt
Filed under: uncultured bacterium
Lineage: Bacteria
Description: partial 16S ribosomal RNA
Rfam family: Bacterial small subunit ribosomal RNA
Source: RNAcentral
UACGUAGGGUGCGAGCGUUAAUCGGAAUUACUGGGCGUAAAGCGUGCGCAGGCGGUUCGCUAAGACCGAUGUGAAAUCCCCGGGCUUAACCUGGGAACUGCAUUGGUGACUGGCGAGCUAGAGUGUGGCAGAGGGGGGUAGAAUUCCGCGUGUAGCAGUGAAAUGCGUAGAGAUGCGGAGGAACACCGAUGGCGAAGGCAGCCCCCUGGGCUAGCACUGACGCUCAGGCACGAAAGCGUGGGGAGCAAACAGG